This 253-nucleotide ribosomal RNA is filed under the name uncultured bacterium. RNAcentral's name for it is "partial 16S ribosomal RNA". It matches the Rfam family "Bacterial small subunit ribosomal RNA", at positions 524 to 776 of the family's 1533-position model. The record is from RNAcentral.
UACAGAGGUGGCAAGCGUUGUUCGGAAUUACUGGGCGUAAAGGGCGCGUAGGCGGCCAUCUAAGUCAGACGUGAAAUCCCCCGGCUUAACCUGGGAAAUGCGUCUGAUACUGGAAGGCUUGAGUACGGGAGAGGGAUGUAGAAUUCCAGGUGUAGCGGUGAAAUGCGUAGAUAUCUGGAGGAAUACCGGUGGCGAAGGCGGCAUCCUGGACCAUUACUGACGCUGAGGCGCGAAAGCUAGGGGAGCAAACGGG